RNAcentral lists this ribosomal RNA (1440 nucleotides) under uncultured organism. Its description in RNAcentral is "SSU rRNA". It matches the Rfam family "Bacterial small subunit ribosomal RNA". The record is from RNAcentral.
AGCUACAGGCUUAACACAUGCAAGUCGAGGGGCAGCAUGGUCUUAGCUUGCUAAGGCCGAUGGCGACCGGCGCACGGGUGAGUAACACGUAUCCAACCUGCCGUCUACUCUUGGACAGCCUUCUGAAAGGAAGAUUAAUACAAGAUGGCAUCAUGAGUCCGCAUGUUCACAUGAUUAAAGGUAUUCCGGUAGACGAUGGGGAUGCGUUCCAUUAGAUAGUAGGCGGGGUAACGGCCCACCUAGUCUUCGAUGGAUAGGGGUUCUGAGAGGAAGGUCCCCCACAUUGGAACUGAGACACGGUCCAAACUCCUACGGGAGGCAGCAGUGAGGAAUAUUGGUCAAUGGGCGAGAGCCUGAACCAGCCAAGUAGCGUGAAGGAUGACUGCCCUAUGGGUUGUAAACUUCUUUUAUAAAGGAAUAAAGUCGGGUAUGCAUACCCGUUUGCAUGUACUUUAUGAAUAAGGAUCGGCUAACUCCGUGCCAGCAGCCGCGGUAAUACGGAGGAUCCGAGCGUUAUCCGGAUUUAUUGGGUUUAAAGGGAGCGUAGAUGGAUGUUUAAGUCAGUUGUGAAAGUUUGCGGCUCAACCGUAAAAUUGCAGUUGAUACUGGAUAUCUUGAGUGCAGUUGAGGCAGGCGGAAUUCGUGGUGUAGCGGUGAAAUGCUUAGAUAUCACGAAGAACUCCGAUUGCGAAGGCAGCCUGCUAAGCUGCAACUGACAUUGAGGCUCGAAAGUGUGGGUAUCAAACAGGAUUAGAUACCCUGGUAGUCCACACGGUAAACGAUGAAUACUCGCUGUUUGCGAUAUACGGCAAGCGGCCAAGCGAAAGCGUUAAGUAUUCCACCUGGGGAGUACGCCGGCAACGGUGAAACUCAAAGGAAUUGACGGGGGCCCGCACAAGCGGAGGAACAUGUGGUUUAAUUCGAUGAUACGCGAGGAACCUUACCCGGGCUUAAAUUGCAGAUGAAUUACGGUGAAAGCCGUAAGCCGCAAGGCAUCUGUGAAGGUGCUGCAUGGUUGUCGUCAGCUCGUGCCGUGAGGUGUCGGCUUAAGUGCCAUAACGAGCGCAACCCUUGUUGUCAGUUACUAACAGGUUCCGCUGAGGACUCUGACAAGACUGCCAUCGUAAGAUGUGAGGAAGGUGGGGAUGACGUCAAAUCAGCACGGCCCUUACGUCCGGGGCUACACACGUGUUACAAUGGGGGGUACAGAGGGCCGCUACCACGCGAGUGGAUGCCAAUCCCAAAAACCUCUCUCAGUUCGGACUGGAGUCUGCAACCCGACUCCACGAAGCUGGAUUCGCUAGUAAUCGCGCAUCAGCCACGGCGCGGUGAAUACGUUCCCGGGCCUUGUACACACCGCCCGUCAAGCCAUGGGAGCCGGGGGUACCUGAAGUGCGUAACCGCGAGGAGCGCCCUAGGGUAAAACUGGUGACUGGGGCU